Long non-coding RNA from Gasterosteus aculeatus aculeatus (three-spined stickleback), 532 nucleotides. The record is from Ensembl. Lineage: Eukaryota; Metazoa; Chordata; Actinopteri; Perciformes; Gasterosteidae.
GGGGAAGGAAGGAGGAAACACACACACACACACAGCUCAUCUGCAUGAACAGCAGUGGAUGACAGGCAGGAGACUUUGCUUCCACCAUCUCAUUUUAGACAUGUGCAACAGUUUCCACAGGGAAAAAAAUUAAAGUAAUUGUUUGAUAACAUUUUCAAAAAGGUAUUCCACAAUAACAAUUUCAUGGUGCAUUGCAGAGUAUAAUUAUAAUUCCACCGUUUUUUCUUUUACUUGGACAGCCCAGGAACACUGGGGGUCAAGUAAAGUAUCCUAGUCAAAUUCUCCUCUCAUUAGUGCAAUCGCUUCUGUCUGCUAAUUAUUCCCUCCUUCUCCCUCCCUCCCUCUCUCUCUCCCUCUCUCUCUCUCUCUCUCUCUCUUUCUCUCUGGAUUAUCCCGAGCAACAUGCAACAUCGUGGCCCCGAAUGCGGAGCGGAUAAGCUGUGAAGGAAAGGAGAGAGGGAAUGUAUUCAUCGGCAGUACUGCCUUCUGGAGCAGCUCACGCUGUGGCAAACUGUGCCGCUUUUCACACGCC